GCUUUCGUAGUGUAAUGGUUUGCACACUCGACGUUUAUUCGAGAAAUCCGGGGUUCGACUCCCGGUGAGGGUA
This 73-nucleotide transfer RNA is filed under the name Stegodyphus mimosarum. It matches the Rfam family "tRNA". Rfam says of the family: Transfer RNA (tRNA) molecules are approximately 80 nucleotides in length. Their secondary structure includes four short double-helical elements and three loops (D, anti-codon, and T loops). The record is from Rfam by way of RNAcentral. Lineage: Eukaryota; Metazoa; Arthropoda; Arachnida; Araneae; Eresidae.